This 447-nucleotide ribosomal RNA is filed under the name uncultured bacterium. Its description in RNAcentral is "partial 16S ribosomal RNA". It matches the Rfam family "Bacterial small subunit ribosomal RNA", at positions 29 to 523 of the family's 1533-position model. The record is from RNAcentral.
AACGAACGCUGGCGGCAGGCUUAACACAUGCAAGUCGAGCGCCCCGCAAGGGGAGCGGCAGACGGGUGAGUAACGCGUGGGAAUCUACCGUACCCUACGGAAUAGCUCCGGGAAACUGGAAUUAAUACCGUAUACGCCCUACGGGGGAAAGAUUUAUCGGGGUAUGAUGAGCCCGCGUUGGAUUAGCUAGUUGGUGGGGUAAAGGCCUACCAAGGCGACGAUCCAUAGCUGGUCUGAGAGGAUGAUCAGCCACAUUGGGACUGAGACACGGCCCAAACUCCUAAGGGAGGGAGCAGUGGGGAAUAUUGGACAGUGGGCGCAAGCCUGAUCCAGCCAUGCCGCGUUAGUGAUGAAGGUCUUAGGAUUGUAAAGCUCUUUCACCGAUGAAGAUAAUGACGGUAGUCGGAGAAGAAGCCCCGGCUAACUUCGUGCCAGCCGCCGCAGUAA